GGAGAUGUAGCUCAGCAGGUUGAGUACUUGCCUAGCAGGCAUGAAGCCCUGGGUUCAAUUCCCAACACCA
RNAcentral lists this transfer RNA (70 nucleotides) under Mesocricetus auratus (golden hamster). It matches the Rfam family "tRNA". Rfam says of the family: Transfer RNA (tRNA) molecules are approximately 80 nucleotides in length. Their secondary structure includes four short double-helical elements and three loops (D, anti-codon, and T loops). The record is from Rfam by way of RNAcentral. Lineage: Eukaryota; Metazoa; Chordata; Mammalia; Rodentia; Cricetidae.